Molecule: transfer RNA, 73 nt
Filed under: Ixodes scapularis (black-legged tick)
Lineage: Eukaryota; Metazoa; Arthropoda; Arachnida; Ixodida; Ixodidae
Rfam family: tRNA
About the family: Transfer RNA (tRNA) molecules are approximately 80 nucleotides in length. Their secondary structure includes four short double-helical elements and three loops (D, anti-codon, and T loops).
Source: Rfam by way of RNAcentral
CCCUGGUUAGCUCAGUUGGUAAAGCGCUCCACUGGAAAUGCAGAGGUCCCGGUUUCAAUACCCGGAAGAGGCG